UACGAAGGGGGCUAGCGUUGUUCGGAAUCACUGGGCGUAAAGCACACGCAGGCGGAUCGAUAAGUCGGGGGUGAAAGCCCGGGGCUCAACCUCGGAAUUGCCUUCGAUACUGUCGGUCUCGAGUCCGGGAGAGGUGAGUGGAAGUCCUAGUGUAGAGGUGAAAUUCGUAGAUAUUAGGAAGAACACCAGUGGCGAAGGCGGCUCACUGGACCGGUACUGACGCUCAGGUGCGAAAGCGUGGGGAGCAAACAGG
Molecule: ribosomal RNA, 253 nt
Filed under: uncultured bacterium
Lineage: Bacteria
Description: partial 16S ribosomal RNA
Rfam family: Bacterial small subunit ribosomal RNA
Source: RNAcentral